RNAcentral lists this ribosomal RNA (456 nucleotides) under Rhodobacteraceae bacterium SF6. RNAcentral describes it as "bacterial SSU rRNA". It matches the Rfam family "Bacterial small subunit ribosomal RNA", at positions 188 to 663 of the family's 1533-position model. The record is from RNAcentral. Lineage: Bacteria; Pseudomonadati; Pseudomonadota; Alphaproteobacteria; Rhodobacterales; Paracoccaceae.
UAAGCCCGAAAGGGGAAAGAUUUAUCGGGAGAGGAUCGGCCCGCGUUGGAUUAGGUAGUUGGUGGGGUAAUGGCCUACCAAGCCGACGAUCCAUAGCUGGUUUGAGAGGAUGAUCAGCCACACUGGGACUGANACACGGCCCAGACUCCUACGGGAGGCAGCAGUGGGGAAUCUUGGACAAUGGGGGAAACCCUGAUCCAGCCAUGCCGCGUGAACGAUGAAGGCCUUAGGGUUGUAAAGUUCUUUCAGCGAGGAAGAUAAUGACGGUACUCGCAGAAGAAGCCCCGGCUANNUNUUGUGCCANCAGCCGCGGUAAUACNGAGGGGGCUAGCGUUGUUCGGAAUUACUGGGCGUAAAGCGCACGUAGGCGGAUAGUUAAGUCGGGGGUGAAAUCCCGGGGCUCAACCCCGGAACUGCCUUCGAUACUGGCUGUCUAGAGAUCGAGAGAGGUGAGUG